AAAUAUUAUUAUUUAUAUAUUUAAACUUUAUAAAACAUUAUUAAUAUUUAAACAAAAAGUUUAAUAUAUCAAAAAAUUUAACAUCAUUAUAUAAUAUAUAGUUUAAAAAAUCUCAAAAAAAAAUCCGUCAUAUUUUGUGAUUCAAAAUUUUAAAAAUGAACAUAUAUUAACCAAUUAGCGAAAAAUGUGUGGGUUCAACAUCCCGCAUCGACUAAAAUAUUUAGACAAUGAUUCAUAAAUAAGAUCAACAUUAAUAAAAUAAAUGUUUUUUUUGCAGGAUGGGUUUUGCGGGACGGGUUUGGCAGGACGUUACUUAAUAACAGUUGUAAACUAUAAAAUAAAAAUAUUUUAUAGAUAGAUACAAUUUACAAAUUUUUAUAUAUAUACUAUCUUUAAAAAAUAAAUUGUCCCCGCGGUGUACCGCGGGUUAAAAUCUAGUUUAAACUCUAUAAAUGGAGGCUUGGUUCAAUUUAUUUGGACACAUAAAAAAAUGUCAUUUCUACCAUAAUUUUCUUAUUCUUCUGCCAUAAAUUCUAUAUAUUAUUCUACCAUAAUGUCAUUUUUAAUUAAUUUAAUUUAGUUUUAAUAGAUAUU
Molecule: small RNA, 594 nt
Filed under: Arabidopsis thaliana (thale cress)
Lineage: Eukaryota; Viridiplantae; Streptophyta; Magnoliopsida; Brassicales; Brassicaceae
Description: ATSL084940
Source: RNAcentral